Molecule: ribosomal RNA, 497 nt
Filed under: uncultured bacterium
Lineage: Bacteria
Description: partial 16S ribosomal RNA
Rfam family: Bacterial small subunit ribosomal RNA
Source: RNAcentral
GAUGAACGCUGGCGGCGUGCCUAAUACAUGCAAGUCGAGCGAACAGACGAGGAGCUUGCUCCUCUGACGUUAGCGGCGGACGGGUGAGUAACACGUGGAUAACCUACCUAUAAGACUGGGAUAACUUCGGGAAACCGGAGCUAAUACCGGAUAAUAUAUUGAACCGCAUGGUUCAAUAGUGAAAGACGGUUUUGCUGUCACUUAUAGAUGGAUCCGCGCCGCAUUAGCUAGUUGGUAAGGUAACGGCUUACCAAGGCAACGAUGCGUAGCCGACCUGAGAGGGUGAUCGGCCACACUGGAACUGAGACACGGUCCAGACUCCUACGGGAGGCAGCAGUAGGGAAUCUUCCGCAAUGGGCGAAAGCCUGACGGAGCAACGCCGCGUGAGUGAUGAAGGUCUUCGGAUCGUAAAACUCUGUUAUUAGGGAAGAACAAAUGUGUAAGUAACUAUGCACGUCUUGACGGUACCUAAUCAGAAAGCCACGGGUAACUACGUG